GUCCACGCCGUAAACGAUGGAUACUAGCUGUUCGGUUGCAAGACUGAGUGGCUAAGCGAAAGUGAUAAGUAUCCCACCUGGGGAGUACGAACGCAAGUUUGAAACUCAAAGGAAUUGACGGGGGCCCGCACAAGCGGUGGAGCAUGUGGUUUAAUUCGAUGAUACGCGAGGAACCUUACCAGGGCUUAAAUGUAGGUUGACAGGACUGGAAACAGUUUUUUCUUCGGACAACUUACAAGGUGCUGCAUGGUUGUCGU
RNAcentral lists this ribosomal RNA (257 nucleotides) under uncultured bacterium. RNAcentral's name for it is "partial 16S ribosomal RNA". It matches the Rfam family "Bacterial small subunit ribosomal RNA", at positions 793 to 1055 of the family's 1533-position model. The record is from RNAcentral.